UACGUAGGGGGCUAGCGUUGCUCGGAAUUACUGGGCGUAAAGGGCGCGUAGGCGGCUAUCUAAGUUGGGGGUGAAAUCCCGGGGCUCAACCUCGGAAUUGCCUUCAAAACUGGAUAUCUUGAGUUCGGGAGAGGUGAGUGGAACUGCGAGUGUAGAGGUGAAAUUCGUAGAUAUUCGCAAGAACACCAGUGGCGAAGGCGGCUCACUGGCCCGAUACUGACGCUGAUGCACGAAAGCGUGGGGAGCAAACAGG
RNAcentral lists this ribosomal RNA (253 nucleotides) under uncultured bacterium. RNAcentral's name for it is "partial 16S ribosomal RNA". It matches the Rfam family "Bacterial small subunit ribosomal RNA", at positions 524 to 776 of the family's 1533-position model. The record is from RNAcentral.